AACCAUUUCAAAUUGGCACAUAAUGUUUAGAAAUGCAUCAGGUCAAGAAAUAUAAAUGAAAAACAUAAAGAUUUUUAUCUGAUGACGUCACAAUUACGUCAUAAUAUGUACUGUUUUCACAAAAACGAUGAAAAAAUACAGAAUUUAUGCAGUUUUCUAUCUUUAUUUCCGUUCUGGAAACAUCCUGCGCAGCCAAGAAACAACAAAAUAAUUUAACAGAAGCUUUAUCAUAACUUUUGGCAUAAUCUCACCAAAUAUAAAGUUGUUUCUUGGGUGCGCACAUACUUUUUCAAUCUAAAAUAUACUUAAAAUUUGAUAAAAAAACAAGGAAAAUCACGAAAUUUAACAUAAUAUGCAAAUUAAGUCAUGAUUUGUUGCCAUGGUAACUUGUUUGAUGUCAGAUUUGUUUUGUUUUUCUUCGUACCUUAUACCUUAGUCAAGUUUUCAGUUAUUUAAGAAUG
Molecule: long non-coding RNA, 461 nt
Filed under: Mytilus galloprovincialis (Mediterranean mussel)
Lineage: Eukaryota; Metazoa; Mollusca; Bivalvia; Mytilida; Mytilidae
Source: RNAcentral